UUCACCAUUUGAAGGAUGAACACAUCUGAUGGGUGGUGGCAGAUCAGACAUAUAGCAGAAGUAAUAUAGUAGAAACGUUUUGUUCCUAUCUUAGUUUAACAGAUGUAUCAUCUGAGAAUUGUUCAAUUUUUGUACAGCCUCAAUCAUCAAUUUGUUUGUUGAUUUAGAUUUUAUCUGGUGUCUAGGAGUUGGUACCUUGGGAGAAUACAAGGUAUAACUAUGAUAAAAGGGGAGAUUUUUUGCAUUUAGAUUGCAUAUUAAGAAUAUCAUGUAUCAUAUGUAUUUCUUUUAUAUGGG
RNAcentral lists this long non-coding RNA (297 nucleotides) under Phaseolus vulgaris (common bean). Its description in RNAcentral is "long non-coding RNA (PVUL_LNC000360)". Lineage: Eukaryota; Viridiplantae; Streptophyta; Magnoliopsida; Fabales; Fabaceae. The record is from RNAcentral.